Zeugodacus cucurbitae (melon fly) is the source of this 3085-nucleotide long non-coding RNA. RefSeq lists it as uncharacterized. Lineage: Eukaryota; Metazoa; Arthropoda; Insecta; Diptera; Tephritidae. The transcript is spliced from 3 exons. The record is from RefSeq and is a predicted model, not a curated record.
UUUUAAUUAAAAUGCUAUUAUAUUGAAAAGUAUUUAUUGAACGUUCCCUUUCUUCUGUGAUAUAUUAGCCAUCGAUGGCUAAAGCUCCAGUUAACGUUGCUUGACUUGACCUAGAGAGACUUGAGAACUGUCACAUAAAAGAUCCGUUUAAUGGGCCUUGCAUGUAUUUGAUUACCGAACGCAUGACUUGACUUGAAAGUCUGUUGAAUUUAGAACUCUAAGUUACGUUGACAUUUGAACUGCUUUCCCUCUCUUACUGCUUCUCUUUUCAUUCUCAUUAUGACACUAUUCCAGUGUUGCCUGAAUGUUUUCGGUUAAAAUUAAAUAUGUUAAAAUUCUAAUCUUUAAUAUUUAUAAAUCUUCAAAUAAAGAAAAAAUAAGAUAAUUCAGAGGAAAAUACCUUUUUCACAACAAUUAUUUUUUAAUGUGUUUAAUAAAAAAAUCGUUUAUUUUAUUUAUAACGCAAAUACUUGUUUAACUUUAAAUGCAAUAAACAAAUAAAAUCAAAUAGGUACGAUAUGAGGGUAAUUUUUACAACAGAAACUUAACUAUUGCGAAUCUCUGCAAGAAUUUGUGGUGAUCUGCUCAGAAAAAAAAUAUUUUGCGAAUUUAUUGUAAAUGUUCAAAUAUAAUUUGAAUAAAUUAUUUAUUCACCUAUCAUAUAUACGCUUGGCUGGCUCCAAUUUAUUACAUAUUGUAACAAUUCCAAAUAUCGAAAAACUGAACUACGUGUGCACGUUUCUUUUGUGGUAUUCUGCUCAAAGCUAUAUUCAUAUAUUUAUUAAAGAGUUUUCUUUCAAACAUAAAAUCUUUACGUGUUCACAGAUUUCCUAAUAGUGAAGAUUUUUUGUAUACUAGUUUUAAAAUCUUCAAUCUUGGUGAUAUUUUAAUUUAAAAAACUUAAUUUUAAAGCUAAAUAUGCACAUCUGGCAACUCUACCCAGAAACUAUAAUAAUAACAGCUGAAGUUGAAGUUGUGUGAAGUAUAACUGCAUCUAAGUUUUCCAAGCCAAAUUUUUCGAAGCUGAGUCAAGUCAAGCAUCGGUAACUGGAGCUUAACCCAGCAAGUCAUGGGUACUGAAAAUCCAAUACAUUCAAAGAAAUUUUAAUAACACCACUACAUACACAUAUAUGCAAACCUCGUAUGGCGCGUUAAAGGUACGCAAACUUAUGGUGUCACUUAUUGUAGCAGCGUGGAACUUUCGAAGCGAUGGAAUAUGUGCUGCAAACAAAUCCAGAACUAUGGAUGCAAACGCUGCUAUAUGGAACACUAAUCUUUUACACACCAGAUAUUAAGUUUAUGUGCCAUUAAACCUUUUGAUCAACACAAGCACGAGAAUUGGAACGACAUGGUUAAGGUGCUUUUGAAACCGUUUAUUAUCACGACGUGUGUCAACUGGGUUUUGCCAAUGAGCUAGAGGGCAAAGCAGUUUCAGUAUUUUUGGGAUAACCGGCACUUGGCCGUGCCAUUAGCAGCUAAAACACAGAAAGUAAAGGUUAAAUUUAAGUGAAUGUUUAUGCUCAUAGAAAUUUAAAAAUUUUUUGUAUGUUUAAUAAGGAGGACUUUUUUGAUUCAUUUUCACCAUGUAUUGAGGAAUCAUAAAGUUGUUGUAUCGCUUUACAAGGACAUAAAUUCACCGAAAUUAGUUCAAUAGAAAUACUACAGCAAAAGCAUGGAUGUUAAGACUUCAACGGUGCCGUGCUUGAUUUAGAUUUCCUGAAACAUAAGUUUGCUAUCUGUCUGUAUCCAUGCCUUUGUUACAUGAUUUAUGCAAUCCAUAAGUAUAAUAUCAUACACGAGUGGAGUUCAAAUCCAGAUGUCUGUCUAUCCGUUCGUCUGUGCAAGCUGUAACUUGAAUAAAAAUUAAAAUAUCUAGAUGAAACUUGGUACACGUGUUUUUUGUCACCAUAGGAAGGAUUUUUUUUUGGAAUAUGGGCGAAAUGACUGCCACGCCCACAAAAUGGCGAAAACCUAAAACACAUAAAGUGUCAUAACUAAGCCAUAAAUAAAGCUAUGGAAGUAAAAUUUGGUAUAAAAUAUCGCACUAUGAAGGGACGUAUUUGGAUGCCAUUUUUUGGAGAAGUGGGCGUGGCCUCAUCUCCUACUAAGUUUUUUGUAAAUACAGUAGCGCACAGUGAAUUGCGGACAAGCCGUCGAUUUGUAUUUAAAGGGCGAAUGUGACCGACCAGUACUACUAUUCGGGAAAUAAGUAAUAGAGUUGGCUUCAGCAAGCCCUCCGUCGGAGAAUUCCUAAAAAAAUCGAUAAAACAGAUCUCUUAAGAAAAAAAAUGGCUCUGGAGCAAAGAAGACAAAUUCAAAGAAAAAUCGGGUGAUGGAACGUUUUUUUAGGGAUCGCUACAAAACUGCUGAGGACGUUAAAGUGGAGUUAUUUCAAGAUGUCGGUACAAAAAAUUUGCCCAAGAACCGUUCGUUGAAGGAUUCAAAAUGUUGAUUUGAACGCUCGUGGCCCCGCCAAAAAGCCACUUUGGACCUCAAAAAUGCGUCAAAACCGUAAGCGAUUGGAAAAUAUUAUGAAAAUUGGACUCAUCUUGUUUGGCGAAAUGUUAUCUUCUCGGAUGCAUCAAAAUUUAACCUUCCUUGUAGCGACGGCAUGUCGAACGCAAGGCGGAGAACUUGUGAGUGGUUCAAGGACGAAUGUCUUCAGAAAACCGUUAAGCAGGGAGGUAGCCAAAUGGUCUGGGGAUGGUUUUCUUACCAUGGCCUUGGACAACUAACCCUAAUAGAUGGAACCGUCAACGGGUUUAAGUACCAGGAGAUACUUGAGACGAAUUUAAUACCCUCAAUAGAGGACCAUUUUUCAUGAGCGGAUGUCCACAUUUUCCAACAUGACUCUGCGCCAUGCCAGUGUGCCAAAAUAGUGAUUGUUUAUUAAAAAUCGGGGUUUCGACUUUAACAAUGUUCAGGUAAUAGUCCGGAUCUCAAUCAAAUUGAGAACCUUUGGUUUAUAAUGAAGACUCAGAUACACAGAAGAGACCAAAAACUUUAGCUGAAUUGCAUAGAAUUCUUGAAGAUAUGUGGUAUAACGGUAUCGCAGCAGGAACAUUACAAAAUCUGAUAAAUUCAA